GUCCGAUGCUGGUCUCGGGCCCUGCUGGGAGACAAGAUCUGGUACUGAACAGGUCCUUCAGACUUGGACUGAAUUACACUACUGGAUUUCCUGGUUCUCCAGCCUGCAGACAACAGUUCAUGGGACUUCUCAGCCUCCAUACUUGCGCUCUCAGGAAAGAAGAAAAGGAUUCUACCUGGAGUGGAGGGGCCUCACACCUCACCACCUCUUCUUCCCACGUAGGGACUCUGAGCUCCCUUUGAGAUCCCAGGCAGAGAUCCCAUCAGAGGCCACCACCAGCUCUUGAAUGAGUGCUGUCAGGAUGAGUCCACGAAAAGGAACCUGUUUUUAAACUGUCAAAUGCUAUAAUAGUCAGAGGACCAAAAGCUACUCCUAGGACAGUUUUGUCACUUUCCCUCUCC
Molecule: long non-coding RNA, 401 nt
Filed under: Mustela putorius furo (domestic ferret)
Lineage: Eukaryota; Metazoa; Chordata; Mammalia; Carnivora; Mustelidae
Description: lncRNA (ENSMPUG00000028647.1)
Source: RNAcentral